RNAcentral lists this long non-coding RNA (1059 nucleotides) under Anser brachyrhynchus (Pink-footed goose). RNAcentral's name for it is "lncRNA (ENSABRG00000010436.1)". Lineage: Eukaryota; Metazoa; Chordata; Aves; Anseriformes; Anatidae. The record is from RNAcentral.
UUAUUUUUAAACUAGAGACAUAGAACUUUUCUUCCCUUGUGCAGACACUUCUCCAGUUUUAAUGUUUUUUUUCUUUCUUUCUGCUUUUUAUUUCCUUCAUCUAGGACUUUUUCUGUCACCAGGUUGUCCUUUUCCCUGGGUGUGCCUCCUGCUUCAGAAUAUACCAUGUCUCUGCCCAUUCCCUGAGCUCCCAGCUCCAUUCAUUAGCUGGAUAAUAGCCUGCAACUAUUUCACCUGAAAACGUUACUUUCUUCCAGUCCAAUCUCUUAUCGCUGCUGGAGCCAAAUUGAGUUAUAAGGUCUAAAAUUAUCCCUGAGGACAACUCUGCUGAGGGGAAACCAACUAUGGAAUCCUCUAUGAAGCAAAUUUUCUGCCAGCCUCACCAUGUGAAGUCAGUCCUCCCUGCGAAUGUUGAUCAGAACUAGAUGCCCCAAUGGCAUUAAACUGCAACACUCAAACAGCACGCGGCCUCUCUCUGCAUAUCUUCCCUCAGUGCCCUGCAGCUGUGACCACCACACUGCAAGGAAACAUGGCAGACUUAAAUAUUGAAGCUUAUAUCACGAAAGACUGCCUUGGUGCACAAGAACAGUGUUUGCAGGAAAACAUCGCAGGUACAAUUAACAGCACUGAAUCUGGAGACAGGAUGAAUAAGAAGGACAUGACAGAGUCGUAGUUCCACCAGCGCACGUCAUGGAGAAGUUUCAGGAAAUUUGUCUCAUGAGGAUUAGAAAUGCUGCCAUCUGCAAUACAGACAUUUCUAUCAGCGGAUAUGACCAGGAAAACCUACUGUUUAUUUCAUGUACCUGUGAGUUUCAUGGCAGGGCUGGAUCCUCAGGGGGGAUGCCUGAGCAGGGAUCCCAUAAAGCUCUAGCAAGGACCACAGCGGUGAGGGAGGACACACUGCACCACCGCGUACAUCGUGCCCUGCAAGGGAACCCACAUGCCAGCCAGGAACCUACUGAAGACUACUUUGAAGUUAAGUCCUGUUUUUUUGUGCUUCUUUCAUGUCUCAGGAUAAUCUCAAUUCUAAGGUGUUUUUUUUUAAGAUUGCUCUUGUAA